UGGGGGAUAUUGCACAAUGGGGGGGAACCCUGAUGCAGCGACGCCGCGUGGGUGAAGAAGCGCCUCGGCGCGUAAAGCCCUGUCAGCAGGGAAGAAAAUGACGGUACCUGAAGAAGAAGCCCGGCUAACUACGUGCC
This 137-nucleotide ribosomal RNA is filed under the name uncultured bacterium. RNAcentral's name for it is "partial 16S ribosomal RNA". It matches the Rfam family "Bacterial small subunit ribosomal RNA", at positions 355 to 509 of the family's 1533-position model. The record is from RNAcentral.